UGUUGUUUUACCUAUUCCACC
RNAcentral lists this microRNA (21 nucleotides) under Glycine max (soybean). RNAcentral describes it as "gma-miR1510b-3p". The record is from miRBase by way of RNAcentral. Lineage: Eukaryota; Viridiplantae; Streptophyta; Magnoliopsida; Fabales; Fabaceae. RNAcentral also lists the same sequence under 1 other name.